This 647-nucleotide unclassified non-coding RNA is filed under the name Hevea brasiliensis (rubber tree). Lineage: Eukaryota; Viridiplantae; Streptophyta; Magnoliopsida; Malpighiales; Euphorbiaceae. The record is from RNAcentral.
GCUUCACCAAAGUAGUUAUGUGCCUCUCCAUCAGCUCCUGUGGAACUAGGAGCUCCGUCUUUAGAGGGAACACCUUAUCUCUUAGAAAUAGAAGAACUUUUUUGCGAAUGCUGUCCCAAGUGCUAAAAUCCUCAGCACUCUGAUCCUCGAUGCUCCCAAUAUGCUUAAACAAAGCAGUUAGAGAAGUCUUCACAUCCUGACGUAACACGGUCAUAAGAGCCUUGUGUACAGCAUCACGCUCUACAUUUUCUCCUGCAAUGAGGAGCUGACCAAGAAUGUCAACAAUUUUAGUCAACUGCUCAGGUGUAUCUUUGCAGAAAAGCGGAAGUCCGCGGAUUGCUUGUACACGGACCCCAAGCUCUUGAUCUUCAAUCAAAUUUAAGUGCUGAUCAAGUGCCUGCUCCGCUAACUCAGGGAAAAACUUAACAAACUUAGGGAUAAGCUGCGCAGCAAGUUGUUUAGCCUUCACACUUCCAUUCGCUGCCGCAAUAAUUCCUUCGUAGUCCUGCUUAUUCUCAGACUUGUCCUUUGCGUCGUUGAGACUUUCACCGAACUCGUAGAGCUUGUCUAUGUCGUCAGCAGCAUCCGCCAUUGAAGUAGAGAAUAGGAGAAAGUGCACCGGUGAAAAGCUAGGGUUUAGGAAAAGU